Molecule: ribosomal RNA, 450 nt
Filed under: uncultured bacterium
Lineage: Bacteria
Description: partial 16S ribosomal RNA
Rfam family: Bacterial small subunit ribosomal RNA
Source: RNAcentral
GUGGGGAAUAUUGGACAAUGGGCGAAAGCCUGAUCCAGCCAUGGCGCGUGUGUGAAGAAGGUCUUCGGAUUGUAAAGCACUUUAAGUUGGGAGGAAGGGUAGUAACCUAAUACGUUGCUACUUUGACGUUACCGACAGAAUAAGCACCGGCUAACUUCGUGCCAGCAGCCGCGGUAAUACGAAGGGUGCAAGCGUUAAUCGGAAUUACUGGGCGUAAAGCGCGCGUAGGUGGUUCAGUAAGUUGGAAGUGAAAUCCCCGGGCUCAACCUGGGAACUGCUUUCAAAACUGCUGAGCUAGAGUACGGUAGAGGGUGGUGGAAUUUCCUGUGUAGCGGUGAAAUGCGUAGAUAUAGGAAGGAACACCAGUGGCGAAGGCGACCACCUGGACUGAUACUGACACUGAGGUGCGAAAGCGUGGGGAGCAAACAGGAUUAGAUACCCGAGUAGUCC